GCACCACUAGCUCAGUUGGCAGAGCAGCUGACUCUUAAUCAGCGGGUCCGGGGUUCGAAUCCCCGGUGGUGUACCA
Molecule: transfer RNA, 76 nt
Filed under: Bacillota bacterium
Lineage: Bacteria; Bacillati; Bacillota
Description: tRNA-Lys
Rfam family: tRNA
About the family: Transfer RNA (tRNA) molecules are approximately 80 nucleotides in length. Their secondary structure includes four short double-helical elements and three loops (D, anti-codon, and T loops).
Source: RNAcentral